This 70-nucleotide transfer RNA is filed under the name Phrynosoma platyrhinos (Desert horned lizard). Its description in RNAcentral is "tRNA-OTHER". Lineage: Eukaryota; Metazoa; Chordata; Lepidosauria; Squamata; Phrynosomatidae. The record is from RNAcentral.
AACUCUAGCAUAGUGGUUUGAGCUUUGGACUGUGACUCUGGAGGCCAAGGUUCGAAUCCUGGCUCAGCCA